Molecule: ribosomal RNA, 450 nt
Filed under: uncultured bacterium
Lineage: Bacteria
Description: bacterial SSU rRNA
Rfam family: Bacterial small subunit ribosomal RNA
Source: RNAcentral
UGGGCAAUCUGCCCUUAAGACCGGGACAACAGCUGGAAACGGCUGCUAAUACCGGAUGAACCAGUAGGCAGGCAUCUGCUAACUGGCAAAGGUGGCCUCUGAAAAUGCUACCGCUUAAGGAUGAGCCCGCGUCUGAUUAGCUAGUUGGUGAGGUAACAGCUCACCAAGGCGACGAUCAGUAGCCGGCCUGAGAGGGUGAACGGCCACACUGGGACUGAGACACGGCCCAGACUCCUACGGGAGGCAGCAGUGGGGAAUCUUCCGCAAUGGGCGAAAGCCUGACGGAGCAACGCCGCGUGAAUGAAGAAGGCCUUCGGGUCGUAAAGUUCUGUCUUAUGGGACGAAGGUCUCCUAUGUGAAUAAUGUAGGAGGAUGACGGUACCAUAGGAGGAAGCCCCGGCUAACUACGUGCCAGCAGCCGCGGUAAUACGUAGGGGGCAAGCGUUGUCC